CUGGCAAAUAGAGCCUGGACUUUGGGACUCGUGGGUCUGGAUUGGACUUUGGAUCUGCUACAGGAUACUUGAGUGACCUUGGUCAGAGCAGCAAACUUCGGGAAGCCUCAGUUUUCUCUUCUGUAAGAUGGGAACUGGAAGGGUUACUGAGGAUUCUAUGGGAUGGCUUAUGAGGAGAACUUGGCACAUAGUAGCUGUGCACUAAAAGGUGCCCUGCUGGGUCCCAGUCUUCUAGAAAGAACAUGCCCCAGGCACACAGGUGAGCCCCUUCUAGAUCCUCCAUGGAAAGGGGAGUCAGCUGAUGGUGGUGCUGUGCUGGAGCUGCAGAGCCAAAGAUGUGUACGCAGCCCAUUCAUCUGCCUUCUGCUGCUUGAGCCCCCACAGAUGCGGAAGGUGCAGGGAAUGAUUCAGCUCCAGCUUUUAUUCUUGGUUGUCUUGUUAUUUUUCCCCUAAUGACUGGUGUGGUCAGAGCCUCAGCUGGAGUUAUGCUGACCUAGUUUUCAAUUCUGACUGUGCCCAAACAAGCUGUGUAACCUUGGACAAGUAACUUAACCUCUCUGUCCUAUCUCCUUCAUCUGCGAAACAGGAAAAUUAGCAUAUCUUUCUCACAAGGUUCUUUGGAGAGCUUUCAAAAUCUAAUUUUCAUUAUGAAACAUUUCAAACAUGGAGAUUAAUACAACUAAAAACAUGAGGAAUAAAACAAUUUUGAAAUCCCA
RNAcentral lists this long non-coding RNA (716 nucleotides) under Vulpes vulpes (red fox). Its description in RNAcentral is "lncRNA (ENSVVUG00000002347.1)". Lineage: Eukaryota; Metazoa; Chordata; Mammalia; Carnivora; Canidae. The record is from RNAcentral.